RNAcentral lists this long non-coding RNA (535 nucleotides) under Homo sapiens (human). RNAcentral describes it as "non-protein coding LINC00882:28". The record is from RNAcentral. Lineage: Eukaryota; Metazoa; Chordata; Mammalia; Primates; Hominidae.
CUGGGCCUCUGGCGCUCUCCUCUGCAACAGAAACUAAAUGGUUUUCCUGGGAACUCUGACUCUGGCCACAAGAUCAAGACUGACAAAUUUCCUUUCUCUGUUUAUGGAGGGAGACUUCACAACAUUCACUGAAAGAGGAGCAAAGGACCUGGUUUUUGCCAUGACUGGCUUUGGCCCCGUGAAUGAAUGUUUUUCUGGCAUUGGAAAGCGGAUAGCAAAGAGAGCAGAACCACAAAUGGGCUAUGAGGAAAUGUGUUCAAUGAAGAAAACAAAAUCUCUGACAAGAUCCAACAUAGGACAACAUCUCAGCAUCUUCUGUGAUUUGUGAACCCAAGUAAAGCACUUCUUAGAGUUAUCUGGCACAUUCGCAACUAAUAGCUUUCUGUGAAUAAAUACUGUGGCAACCACGUUAACUGUACAAAAACAAAUUGCUUAUUUCUUAUAUCCAUGCUGGAAGAUUAUCUGGCUGACCUUAUCAGCUGUGAUGUCAGGAAUGUCAGCCAGUUAUCCUGUGGUGCAUUCAGCUGGGUCAUUG